This 253-nucleotide ribosomal RNA is filed under the name uncultured bacterium. RNAcentral's name for it is "partial 16S ribosomal RNA". It matches the Rfam family "Bacterial small subunit ribosomal RNA", at positions 524 to 776 of the family's 1533-position model. The record is from RNAcentral.
UACAGGGGGGGCAAGCGUUGUUCGGAAUUACUGGGCGUAAAGGGCUCGUAGGUGGCCAACUAAGUCAGACGUGAAAUCCCUCAGCUUAACUGGGGAACUGCGUCUGAUACUGGAUGGCUUGAGUUUGGGAGAGGGAUGCGGAAUUCCAGGUGUAGCGGUGAAAUGCGUAGAUAUCUGGAGGAACACCGGUGGCGAAGGCGGCGUCCUGGACCAAUACUGACACUGAGGAGCGAAAGCCAGGGGAGCAAACGGG